Molecule: long non-coding RNA, 1244 nt
Organism: Diabrotica virgifera virgifera (western corn rootworm)
Lineage: Eukaryota; Metazoa; Arthropoda; Insecta; Coleoptera; Chrysomelidae
Exons: 2
Source: RefSeq, a predicted model, not a curated record
GAUCAGCUGUGUGCAUAGGCGUACCAUCUGGUAAAGCUCCUGUAUAUGCAAUCAAUUAACUGAAGUUAUUAGUAUAAUAAAAUGUUAUUUAACUGACUUUUCAACAAAAUAUUAUAUUAAUACGUAUUUUCUCUUGAUCUGUAGCUGUUUGUUUAACAUCAAAGAUGUAAUAAAAUCGUUAAGAAUUUCUUUUCUUCCCUCUUUCAAAGGUACGUCACUGGAGAUAGAAAGCAAAUCUGACAGCUGAUCGCCAUUUGCAACCUCCUUCCUGGCUCGUAGUCAUUUCGCAUUGUACUCCUUCCUGAUUUAUUUUAUAUUCUAAGAUUUUCAUACAUAAGAUAACCGAUAACCUAAAAAUUUAGUAAAGUAAAAAUUUUGAUUGGAAAAAAAAUGCAUCGAUAAGGGGGUGUGGGAAAUGGAAAUUAGUGGCUUUUUUGCUGUACUGUCUGCAGUUUUUGCUCUGGGCUCUGGCUGGAUCUCUUGUUUAAACAAUUUUAAUCAGCUGAAAGUGGCCUACAAAAAAAAACCAAGAAGGAAAUGUAUAGCCUUGUGGCUAUGAAAGGCAAAAGAGAGAUAUAAAAAGUUUAUUGGCUAGUUGGAAGAAAGUCCACAUUGUCUAUGCAUAAUAAGUUAUUACUUUAUCAACAAAUAUCAAGAAGAUAGCAGGGUCACGAGCAUCAACUUCAUCAGUUCAAGAAUAUCGAGGAAAUCCAGCUCCUCGAUACUACUGGGCAAACUAGAAGAUUGAAGAGGACAAAUCCUUUUGAACUAGUUUGAGUGAUAGGUGAUAGUGAAAAACGGAGCAUAGUGCUUGUGUGCUGUGCCUGUGUAUGUUAGAAUAGUGCACGAUCUUGUUAGAUUAGAUAAGAGACGCUAUGGGGUAAGCUCUUCAUUUUAAGAAACAGUAGUAAUUUAGGUUAAAUUAAAAUUGUUCAUUGGUCAGUUAUGACCAGAUUGUUUUUUUAUGUUUGGCAAAAAGGACUUAAGUCAGAAUUGCACAUUGAUAAUGUUUUGAUGAUUUCUGGACCAGAAAAAAACUGUUGUAGAUGUAAACUGUAUGUACAGUAGAAUCUACUACAGUACUGUAGAAAUCAUCAAAACAUUAUCGAUGUGCAAUUCUGACUUAAGCCCUUUUUCCCAAACAUCAGAGAAUUGUAAUGUACAAUAAUUCACCUAUCUGCUUUUUCAUGAAUUUUGUAGGAGACGAAAAACCAUUUUUAGGAUCAUCUGCUUUCACAUGUAAA